GCUAAAAACCUAGCUCUAAUUAUAACAUAUGCACCCUCCCUCCACUACCACCUUAAACUAAAACAUUUAUAUAUUUAAGUAAAGGAGAUUGAAAAAUUUUAAGAAGCAAUAAACCUAGUACCGCAAGGGAAAGAUGAAAUACGAAUGAAAGACCUUUAAGCAAAAAAAAGUAGAGUCCAACCCUCGUACCUUUUGCAUCAUGGUUCAACUAGUCCAAUCAAGCAAAAAGAAUUUAAGUUUGACCCCCCGAAACUAAGCGAGCUACUUCAAGGCAGCUUAAUGAGCUAACCCGUCUCUGUUGCAAAAGAGUGGGGAGACCUUCAAGUAGUGGCGACAUACCUAACGAGCUUAGUGAUAGCUGGUUACUCAAGAAAAGGAUUUUAGUCCAACCUAAAGUCUCCAUCUUUCUAAUAAAAAUCCCUCGACUUUAGAGUAAUUCAAAUAAGGUACAGCCUAUUUGAAACAGGAUACAACCUCAUAUGACGGGUAAAACCACCGCUUAAAACCCCAAGUAGGCCUAAGAGCAGCCACCUUUUAAAAAACGUCACAGCUUAGUCUUAUUCAGCCUUUUAAUCUCCCACCACAGCUUUAACCCUCUCACACUAUUGAGUAAUUCUAUACUUAUAUAGAAAAUUUUAUGUUGAAACUAGUAACAAGAAGAAUUAGACCUUCUCUUAAAUGCAAACAUAAGUCAGAAAGGACAGACCACUGAUAAUUAACGCCCUUGAACAAGCAUUAGCAACUCAACUCAAGAAAAACCUAAUUAAAACUCACGUUAACCUAACACAAGAGCAUUUCAAGAAAGAUUAAAAGAAAAAGAAGGAACUCGGCAAAUAUUAACCCCGCCUGUUUACCAAAAACAUCGCCUCUUGAGUAAAAAUAAGAGGUCCAGCCUGCCCAGUGACCAAUGUUCAACGGCCGCGGUAUCCUAACCGUGCGAAGGUAGCGUAAUCACUUGUUCUUUAAAUGGGGACUAGUAUGAAUGGCACCACGAGGGUUACACUGUCUCCUUUCUCUAAUCAGUGAAACUAAUCUCCCCGUGAAGAAGCGGGGAUACAGCUAUAAGACGAGAAGACCCUAUGGAGCUUUAAAUUUCUCUUCAAACGCUAGCCCCUCUUAACAGUCGCAGACUUACUACACCUACAUCAGCGCCAUGAAGAUGACUUUUAGGUUGGGGUGACCGCGGAGUACAAAAAAACCUCCACGCUGAAUCAGGUCCAAAAACCUUGAACAAAGGGCCACAACCCGAAACACUAAAAAAUUAACAUCAAUUGACCCAAUACUCUAUUGAUCAACGAACCAAGUUACCCUAGGGAUAACAGCGCAAUCUACUUCAAGAGUCCCUAUCGACAAGUGGGUUUACGACCUCGAUGUUGGAUCAGGGUGUCCCAGUGGUGCAGCCGCUACUAAUGGUUCGUUUGUUCAACGAUUAAAACCCU
RNAcentral lists this ribosomal RNA (1439 nucleotides) under Scinax sp. KAV15. RNAcentral describes it as "partial 16S large subunit ribosomal RNA". It matches the Rfam family "Bacterial large subunit ribosomal RNA", at positions 133 to 2597 of the family's 2925-position model. The record is from RNAcentral. Lineage: Eukaryota; Metazoa; Chordata; Amphibia; Anura; Hylidae.